Hyla sarda is the source of this 419-nucleotide long non-coding RNA. RefSeq lists it as uncharacterized. The transcript is spliced from 4 exons. Lineage: Eukaryota; Metazoa; Chordata; Amphibia; Anura; Hylidae. The record is from RefSeq and is a predicted model, not a curated record.
CUUCACUGCCCGUGUAGACCCAUCCUGAGAGGAACAAGGCUUAUUCGCGACGACGUGAUGACGACGAAGGAGAGCGCCGGCCAUGCAGGGGAUCCCGGCACGGAGCAGACACCAAGGAGGCAGCCUUUAGUCAGUGAAGCUGUUUCUGCAUACAAAGCCCAGGAAUAAGACUUCUGACGCUCGGAUUCUAUGAAACAAUUGGUCAACUUUACGGAGAGAGCACCAGUUGACCACCUGACCUGCAGUUUGACCUAUGGACAUCUUGCUCAGCCCCCUUUAUAAGAGGGGGAGCCAUUACAAUCUGCCUCUUUGAUAAUUCACUGCUCUUACACCAUAACUCCUGCUGAGGAACAGCAAAGCACAGACACCUCAGAUCCCACAUCCAAUACACCUGGAGGCUUCAAGCCUGCAUAUGUCAG